This 253-nucleotide ribosomal RNA is filed under the name uncultured bacterium. Its description in RNAcentral is "partial 16S ribosomal RNA". It matches the Rfam family "Bacterial small subunit ribosomal RNA", at positions 524 to 776 of the family's 1533-position model. The record is from RNAcentral.
UACAGAGGUCUCGAGCGUUGUUCGGAUUCAUUGGGCGUAAAGGGCGCGUAGGCUGCGGGGCAAGUCAGGUGUGAAAUCUCAGAGCUCAACUCUGAAACUGCACUCGAUACUGCUUUGCUUGAGGACUGGAGAGGAGAUUGGAAUUCACGGUGUAGCAGUGAAAUGCGUAGAUAUCGUGAGGAAGACCAGUGGCGAAGGCGGAUCUCUGGACAGUUCCUGACGCUGAGGCGCGAAGGCCAGGGGAGCAAACGGG